UUUAUAUCUCGUGAUGUAGUCCUCGUUAUAAACUGAGGAAAAUGAAGUCAGACAAACGGAAAUUGACAGUGUAGUGACAAAUGAGACAGAAAUUAAACUAUCAUAGGAGGUUUACAACAAAUAGUUUUAUAUUAAAACAUUGAAAAAACUGUGCUACUUAAGUGCAAUACAAAAUUUUAGAUUAUAGCAUGAUAAAUUUAUAAUUUGUAUUUUAC
This is a non-coding RNA of Cinara cedri, 215 nucleotides long. The record is from the annotation of a GenBank genome assembly. NCBI's taxonomy places the organism in Eukaryota, Metazoa, Arthropoda, Insecta, Hemiptera, Aphididae.